This is a long non-coding RNA of Rosa rugosa (rugosa rose), 1109 nucleotides long. RefSeq lists it as uncharacterized. The transcript is spliced from 3 exons. NCBI's taxonomy places the organism in Eukaryota, Viridiplantae, Streptophyta, Magnoliopsida, Rosales, Rosaceae. The record is from RefSeq and is a predicted model, not a curated record.
UACUCUUCUUGCAGGUUUUGCUUAUUACUGGUGGAUGUCAAUUUCUGUGUUGACAGUCUGGUUUUUUUGCAGUCAGGUUAUCUUCUUUUCCUUCUACUUUUCAUUUCAUACCUAUUCUUAAUUUCCCUUUUUCAUUGAUGUAAAAAAAUCCCUACUGUUUUUCUUCAUUAGCUCAAUUCACAAACACCAUUGUUUAAACGUAGCUAACCCACAUACUUCAAAUUAUGACCCAUCAAACACUUAUUAAUCUGCAUAACAAGUUUAGCACAAAUUGACCAUAUAUAUAUUGACUUGAAAACCAGAACAUAGAUAUAUAUAUAUGGCUAAACAUAUAGCUGCAUGUAUCUAAACAAUCAAUUUUUAGAACUCUCCCUACAUUCCUGAAUACUUAGUUUAGCCUAGCUUCCAAAAUUGAAUUAUUUCAUCUACUUCCCUUUGGUACAAAACUCAUCUACACAUUUCCAUUCUGUAUAUCUAAUUAAUCCAACUUUGGAUUUGUUAAUUUCACACUGAAGAUGCUCACCACAAAGUUUGCUUCUAUUAUAUUACAUGCACACCACCUAUACUCCAACUCUAAAAUGCCAGAAGCACAAAAUAACGUAGCUUUAAUUUCAUUUGUUUUAUUGAGCAUGAAAUUUGCAAAAGCUAUUCUCUCUUUUCUCCUGCAUUUGCAGCUAUCUGAAAGCUUACAGUUGGUAAAAAACGAAAUUUACUGUCGUCUCACAAAGAAUGAAAGUAUUUCUUGCUUGCUGCAAUUGGUACUGAACUCACGAUGAGCAACCUGUUGUUCUAUGUAUUACCAGAUUAAAGAAUAUUUGGUAAUCAUCAUUGCUGACGGAGCAACACAGGGUCUUCCUUCAAACAAAUUGCAAUCGAUGAACCAGCAACCAACAACAACAUGAAGUACAGAUGAAUGGGAUUGUAUAACGAGCCAUAUAAUUACUAAGCAAACAAAUUGCAAUAUUGUACUUGAUUUAUAGCUUCAUUUUCUUUGACAUAAAUUGUAUUCAAUUUAUGACUUCACUUCGAUUUAACGAUUCACAUUUUUCAAUCAAAAUUCAUUUCACAUUAUUAAUCCAUAAGUUUGAACACCUAUAUGCUCCAAUCAU